This 1269-nucleotide ribosomal RNA is filed under the name Hemisodorcus derelictus. Its description in RNAcentral is "16S ribosomal RNA". The stretch from base 838 to 1202 matches the Rfam family "Archaeal large subunit ribosomal RNA", at positions 2150 to 2716 of the family's 2987-position model. Lineage: Eukaryota; Metazoa; Arthropoda; Insecta; Coleoptera; Lucanidae. The record is from RNAcentral.
UAUAAAAUAUUUUAUUUGUAAAAGGUUUUUAAAAGGAAUUAAAUGUUUGAGUAAUUAAUUAGAAAAAAUUUUUAAAGUUAUAGAUUAAUAGUACAGUGAAGGAAUAAUAUAAAAUUGGUAAAAGAAAGUUUUAUUUACGGUACCUUUUGUAUCAGGGUUUAUUAAAAAUUAGUUUAGAUUUUAAGUUUUCUCGAAUUUAUAAGAGCUAAGAAUUUAUAUAUUUUAAUGUUGAACAAUUAUUUAAAAUAUUUUCUUUGAUAUUAGACGUUAGUCGGUUUUAAAUAUAUCUAGUUUUUUAAGAAAUUAAUUUAAUUAAGCUGAUUUCUAGAGGUUUUGAAUAUCAAAUUUAUCAAGAAAUUAAGUAAUAUUUAAGGGGAUAAGCUUUUAAGUAGAUUUUUAAAAAUAUAGGUUUAUCAAAGUUGAGUAGGAAUAGAAGUUUUCAUUUUUUGUAGUGUUUUAUAUCAAGAUUUUGGAAUAAGUAAUUUAUUGGUUUUUAGAUUUUUUAUUAGAAUAUUAAAUUUAAUUGAAGUUUUUAAGCAAUAAUGAUAAAAUAAGUAUAAUUUAAUGUUUAAGAAUUUAAUUUAUGAGAGUUUUAAUUAAGAAACUCGGCAAAUAUAUUUUCUGCCUGUUUAUUAAAAACAUGGCCUUUUGGCAAUAAUUUAAGGUCCGGCCUGCCCAAUGAUUAAUAUUAAAUGGCCGCGGUACUUUGACCGUGCAAAGGUAGCAUAAUCAUUAGUUUUUUAAUUGAAAGCUUGAAUGAACGGUUAAACAAGAAAAUUACUGUCUCAAUUAAAUGGUUUUAGAAUUUUAUUUUUUAGUAAGAAAGCUUAAAUAUUUUUAAGGGACGAGAAGACCCUAUAGAAUUUUAUAAGUUUAAGAAGGUUGUAUUUUUGGUUUAAUUAUUAUAGCUUAAUUAAUCUUAUUUUGUUGGGGUGAUGGAAAAAUUUGAUAAACUUUUUUUAAAAUUUUGUACUUAUGCGUAUUUUUGUGAUCCGUUUUUUACGAUUAAAAGAAAAAAUUACCUUAGGGAUAACAGCGUAAUUAGUUUGGAGAGUUCUUAUUGAUAAAUUAGUUUGCGACCUCGAUGUUGGAUUAAAAUAAACUUUUGGUGUAGGGGCUUUAAAGUUAAGUCUGUUCGACUUUUAAAAUUUUACAUGAUCUGAGUUUAAACCGGCGUGAGCCAGGUUGGUUUCUAUCUUUAAAUAAAUUUAAUAUUUUAGUACGAAAGGACCAAGUAUUAAUUUAAUAAAUUAUUUUUUGAAUAUAAUU